Bos taurus (domestic cattle) is the source of this 485-nucleotide long non-coding RNA. Lineage: Eukaryota; Metazoa; Chordata; Mammalia; Artiodactyla; Bovidae. The record is from Ensembl.
UGUGUGGUAAGCAGGCAGGCAGAGUCUCUGAGUCUGUGUAGGAGGAAGAUGCUGGAGAAAGAGGGGAACAGAAUGUGUCUGAAGGCUCAGGAAGGUGUUGAAGUGUCUUUGCUCAACUUCAGACAACACGGAUUAAGGCCAUGGGGGUUCUUGAUUGACAGCACCAGCAGGACAAUGGGGGGUCUAAGUGCCCUCUGAGCCAACAGACCUGAGGAGGGAGAGAAGCCAACAUGCAAAUCUCUGGAAGCACCAAAAGAUGGGGUCAGCUAAUGCUUCAGAGAGCGUUUGGACUUCAGUCCUGGUCUUGGUCAAAGUGACUACGUAGACAUGAACUUCAUGGCAGAGAAAAACCACUCUCACUCAUGAAGGCAAUGUAUUUUUAUUUUAAGAUGAGGAAUGGCCUGAAUAUACUUUAUUCAUCCCUUGUGUCUUUCCUGUUCAGAAACUUUCAUUUGAGUUAAUGGGUGAUGAAAAGAAAUAGUUAC